RNAcentral lists this ribosomal RNA (572 nucleotides) under Hyphopichia burtonii. RNAcentral's name for it is "eukaryotic LSU rRNA". It matches the Rfam family "Eukaryotic large subunit ribosomal RNA", at positions 34 to 667 of the family's 3401-position model. Lineage: Eukaryota; Fungi; Ascomycota; Pichiomycetes; Serinales; Debaryomycetaceae. The record is from RNAcentral.
UUUUGCAUAUUCAAUAAGCGGAGGAAAAGAAACCAACAGGGAUUGCCUCAGUAACGGCGAGUGAAGCGGCAAAAGCUCAAAUUUGGAAUCUCAGUCUUUCAGGCUGCGAGUUGUAAUUUGAAGACGUAUUUUGAAGUAAGCACAUGUCGAAGUUCCUUGGAACAGGACGUCACAGAGGGUGAGAAUCCCGUGCGAUGUGUUCACUGCUUCAUGUAAAAUGCAGUCGAAGAGUCGAGUUGUUUGGGAAUGCAGCUCUAAGUGGGUGGUAAAUUCCAUCUAAAGCUAAAUAUUGGCGAGAGACCGAUAGCGAACAAGUACAGUGAUGGAAAGAUGAAAAGAACUUUGAAAAGAGAGUGAAAAAGUACGUGAAAUUGUUGAAAGGGAAGGGCUUGAGAUCAGACUCGGGCAACCGGGCCAGCAUGGGGUGGGGGAGUAGGAUAACCCUGCAGGAAAGUGGCUUCGCUUCGGUGGAGUGUUAUAGCCUGUAGCUAUACUGCUACCCUCGCCCGAGGACUGCGGAAACAAGGAUGCUGGCAUAAUGAUCUUAAGCCGCCCGUCUUGAAACACGGACC